This 7220-nucleotide long non-coding RNA is filed under the name Gossypium barbadense (sea-island cotton). RNAcentral's name for it is "long non-coding RNA (GBAR_LNC015846)". The record is from RNAcentral. Lineage: Eukaryota; Viridiplantae; Streptophyta; Magnoliopsida; Malvales; Malvaceae.
AUAUUUUCUUGGUAAAUUACGUCAUCCAAUUAUUAAUCUUAUUUAUUGUAAAAAGUUUUUAUUGUAGUAGUGGAUGAACAACUCUGAAGAGCCAUAGAAUUUUUUUUCUAAGGAUAAGCUUCGAUGACGGAUUGAACUGCACGUAUAGGUUUAACGUUGAAUCGUGUAAAACCAGAUUGUCGAAGAACAUAGCUCCAUUCCUUUAAGGUCCUCUCUUUCCCUUUAUUAGUAAUAGCCAUCAUCGUCAUGUCUAGCAUCAACCCUACGGCACCUAGCUCGUCGCCUUCUUUAUCUUCUUCAAGAACUGCUUCAACGAUUAUAACCUUCCCUUUAUCUUCUGGAAUGGCUUCUCGACAUUUUUUUAAGAUUUUAAUGCAUUCCUCGUCGUCCCAAUCAUGCAAUACCCACUGCAAUGUGACACGUAUGGAUUAAUCGUAUAAGACCAUAUAAUGAAGGGAAAGAAAGUACUAACCAUAAAAAACGCUGCGUCGGCGUUUGGGAUAGACAUGAACAUGUCUCCUCCUACGUUUUCAAUGCUAUCGGAUUUUGCUGAAACGGCGACGACAUGAGGGAGAUCAAAGUUGAUGCCUCGAAUCCAUGGGAAUGCCUUGACUAAAAGGCUCAAAGCAGUCCCGUUACCACCACCGACAUCGACCAGGCUUUCGACUCCGUCGAACACUUCGGGACAUCCUUCGAUUGUCGCCUGCACCGUCAGUCUAGCAUCGCAACCCAUGGCGUUGUUAAAGAGUUCUCUAAAGUCGGGGUUCGCCUCGGCGUAGCUCCAUAGAUCUUUCCCAUUUGCUACUUCAAAUGGUGAGAUAUUAUUGCCGGUUUCAAGGACUCGAGCACUAAGACUAUGCCAUGGUGCUAACCAAGUAGGGCUGGACACGAACAAUAUUAAAGCAGCCAUGGAUUUUUCUCCACGUUUUAUCAAAAGACGAGACAAUGGCGUCGAUGAGAAGCCUACAGUGUGGUGGUUGAUGUGCUCUUGUUUGAAUAUUCGGUCGUGGACCAUGAACCUCAUAAUGCGAUGAAGACGCGACGGUUCGCAUCGGAGGGCAGUGGCUAGCUCGGAUAGUGGCAUAGGGCUUCCAUAGUUUUCAAUAGUGUCGGCAAUCCCAAGCUCAAUGGCACAUUUAACGACAGCUAUUUUAGCAUAUCCUAACACAUAAUUCCAAAUCUUUAUUUCAGCUCUAGCUUCUUCCUUUACUGUCACUUCCAUAUCUCCCAUCUCAACUUUUUUUUUUAUUUUUUUUUAUUUUAGAACUUUUGGCAACUCUAUGCCCAAAUCUUGACCACGAAGCUACGAUUUAUAGAAGCAAAGGUAUUGGUUUGAACUAGGUCACAGUUCUUGAAUUUGAAAAUAUCUUGUCAAAUAUGCUCCUAACCACAAAACAAUUAUUAGAUUAAUUUGGUAAAAAAAUUACAGUCCAAUUAUUUGAGGUGUACCAAAUAGUAUAUGUAACUUAGAUUUUGGUUAACUUUUACCAUAGUACUUCAAUAGCAAUUUAUGAAUUUAAUCUUUAUAUUUUUUUAUUGAUUAAUUUCUAUCACAUUUCAAAAAUCGAGCUAAAAAAAAUUGGAUUAAUGGAUCAAGAAUUAACACGUCAUGACUUUUAAUUAAAACUUUGUAAAAUUAUGAUAAAAAUGAAUUAUCAACUAAGAAGAGAGUCUAAUUGACUUAGAGACUUGAGUUAUGUUUCGUGGGAUAUUCUCACAUUUUUCUGCCAUUCACUUCUACUUUAUUUAUGUGGUAAUGGGUGUAUGUGUGUGAUAGUGGGAUUGAUGGGUUUUUUUAACCAACUUUAUUCAGGAUCUUUCAUUUUCUGGACACUUUUACCCAAAAUCAGACACAGCUCAUCAUCUCAUAUUAUCUAAAAUUGUGUGGUAUAUAUGUUUAUAGGGUCAACUCAAAAAAAUAUUUUAAGAAAAUAAUAAUAAUUUUUGAAAAAUAAAAAUACAAUUUUAUAAAUUAUUGUUAUUUUAUCUUUUUUUUUCGUGUUUGUCUUCGUCCAUAAUGUUUAUCGAUGCUUAUCAGAUUAUUUACCCUAAAUAUUUAUUGUCACUCUUCCAGUAUAAGACUUAUUUCAUUCGAACUUUAAUUGGUUAAAACUUAAAAUGAAAUAUUAUUAUAUUAGAGAGAUUUAUUAUUGUUUAAAUUUGAAUAUAUUUUAAUUUUUAAUCUAUUAUAUUUUUGAAUUGAUUUAUUCUAAUUCUAAUUGAUCAAAUAUGUAUUAUUUGUAACUUUUACUAAAAUUUUUUUAAUACGAUACAUUAUGUUCGUACCCUUUAAAAUUUUUUUGAAAAAUUUUAAAAAUAGAAUAUAGUAUAAUCAAGUACGACCACGUAUGUAUGAUGAUAUAUAAGGAAUUAUAAAGUUGAAUUAAACUAAUAUAAACUGCAAAUAAAUUAAGAAUCGGAAUAAUUUGAACUAAAAACGACGUAGAACAAUUGUGCAGGAAGAGAUUCAGACUUUAGUACACAAAAUCUAAGACCUUGACCUUUAUCAACAACUUCGAAACUUACUUUAUCCGGAUCAAAAUAACAAUCAUAUUUUAAUUGUUUUUUGCAUUCAAUCAAAAAUUAUUCCAGAGAUAGAAUUGAAGAUUGAAAUAAUUAUUGAACAAAGGGAAUUACUAAACGAAGAGCAAGACUGAAACAUUUCUCAUGCAACAAAGUUUUAAUUGUUUUGUAGAAGUGGAUGAACGACUGUGAAGAGCCAUAGAUGUUGUUUUCUAAGGAUAACCCUCGAUGACGGAUUGAACUGCACGUAUGGGAUUAACAGUGAAUCAUUUAAAACCAGAUUGUCGAAGAACAUAGCUCCAUUCCUUUAAGGUCCUCUCUUUCCCUUUAUCAAUAUGAGCCAUCAUCGCCAUGUCUAGCAUCAACCCCACGAAACCUAGCUCGUCGUCUUCUUUAUCUUCUUCAAGAGCUGCUUCAACGAUUAUAACCUUCCCUUUAUCUUCUGGAAUGGCUUCUCGACAUUUUUUUAGGAUUUUAAUGCAUUCCUCGUCGUCCCAAUCAUGCAAUAUCCACUGCAAUUUGCAAUGUAUGGAUUAAUCGUAUAAGACCAUAUAAUGAAGGGAAAAAAAGUACUAACCAUUAAAAACGCUGCGUCGGCGUUUGGGAUAGACAUGAACAUGUCGCCUCCUACGUUUUCAAUGCUACCGGAUUUUGGUGCAACGGCAACGACAUGAGGGAGAUCAAAGUUGAUGCCUCGAAUCCAAGGGAAUGCCUUGACUAAAAGGCUCAAAGUAGUCACGUUACCACCACCGACAUCGACCAGGCUUUCGACUCCGUCGAACACUUCGGGACAUCCUUCGAUUGUCGCCUGCACCGCCAGUCUAGCAUCGCAACCCAUGGCAUCGUUGAAGAGUUAUCUAUGGCCGGGGUUUGUCUCGAACUAGCUCCAUGGAUCUUUCCCGUUCGCAGCUUCAAAUGGUGAGAUAUCAUUGCCGGUUUCAAGGACUCGAGCACUAAGACUAUGCCAUGGUGCUAACCAAGUCGGGCUGGACUCGAGCAAUAUAAAAGGGCCCAUGGAUUUUUCUCCAUCUUUUAUCAAACGACGAGACAAUGGCGUAGAUGAGAAGCCUACAGUGUGUUGGUUGAUGGGUUCCUGUUUGAAUAUUCGGUCGUGGACCAUGAACCUCAUAAUGCGAUAAAGACGCGACGGUUCGCAUCGGAGGGCAGUGGCUAGCUCGGAUAGUGGCAUAGGGCUUCCAUAGUUUUCAAUAACAUUGGCAAUCCCAAGCUCAAUGGCACAUUUAACGACAGCUAUUUUAGCAUACCCGAACACAUAAUUCCAAAUAUCUACUUCAGCUCUAGCUUCUUCUUCUUCGAUUCCACUCACUUCCAUUAUUAUUAUUUUUCUCUUGGAAAACUUUAUAAUUCUAUUCGCAACUCUUGAGGAUGAAAAGUUUUGUUGAAGACCCCGAUUUAUACGAGCAAAGGGUUAGAUUUUCUCUCUUCAAUUUCAGUUUUUUUCCUAAAAUAAAUUAAAUCUAAUUGAAAAUAUCAAAAUUUAGGAGAAAAACUGAUGUGACAUUAUGACAUUAAAUUAUUAAAAAAUGAUACAAAUGGCGUGUGAUUUCAAAUUCAUACAAUCAUGAUGAACAUCCUAAAAUAAUAUAAUUAUCAUGAUAUAACUUGGUGGAACAUUUUUUAAUAUAUAUAUUUAUGUGUUUUUUAAUGGAAUUUUUUUUAAUAUAGUUGUUUCCACCACUGAUUUCCUUUGGAAAAUUUUAGUUAUUAUCGUGAUUAAAAUUGCUUGAUUCUGCUCAACUAAUAAGGGAGAUUUUUUAUAAAUUGUAUUAUUGAACCUAAAAGUUUAACCAUGAAGGAGUGGUUGAAUGACAUUGAAUAAAAAUAAUAAAAGCUUAAUAUAUUAAUUGAUCCUUGAAUUUAACAGUUUUUCUCACAUUAGUUCUUAGAUAUUUCUUUGGAUUAUAUUAGUCUCUAAAUUUGGCAACCAUUACAGACACCAAUUUCUAAGGUUAAGGGUGGGUUUGGAUAGGCGGUACGUUUACUUACGAUUAGUGUAAAAACAGCAGUGGCAGUGAGAUUAGAUACUGUAGCGAUAUUGUAGUGUGAGACAAAAAGUAAGAUAAACGCACCGCACCCAGUCAUCCAUCCAAACUCACCCUAACACCAUUUAGUUUUUAGCAAUUUUGGUGACAUGGACUAAUAUCGUUGUGAUACAUGCUAUAUAUAUAUAUAUAUUCAACUUUCUUUAUAAUAACUACCCAUUAUAACACAACAUUUCGCUAUAACAAUAAAAUUUUUAUCAGAAUUGAUUUUUUAUGUUUUAUUUUAACCUUCUAUAAUAAUUUUUCACUUAUAACAAUAAUAGCUAUAAUUAUGAAGUACAUCCUUUGUUAAAUCAGUUCUUUAAAACAACACCUUGCUUAAAAUUUUAAGUAAAACUAUAACUAUUCAUAUAAGCAAACCUAUUACUUAGAAUUUGAUCUUCUUCUUUUGUUCUUUUCCUUUUUCUUUCUUUUAAUUUUACAUUUUUUUAUAACAUUGAGAGUUAAUCUUAAAAGAAAGAAUAACAAUAAAAGUUAUUAUUUAGAAUUUUUGGGUGUUUUCAUUUUUUUUUGUUUAUUUUCAAUCAAAUUUAGCUAAUAAAUUAGACUUUUAGCUUUUUAGGUGAAAAGAUCAGAAGAACAACAAAAUUACAAAAAAAAGACCAAAUUACACAAUGUGUAAACAUUGAGGGUUAGAUUGUUUAGAAUCAAGACUAAUUUGACCCAAUAUAUAAAUGUUAAAGAUUAAGGUUGCCAUUAUGCCAAUUUUAGAAGCUACCACCGCUAGCUUGUUGGUGACAAAAAAUGAUAAAAUUUAAUAAUUAAAUAACUAUUUUAUAACUUUUUAUAAUUGGGUGAUCAAAAUAAAAUUUACUAAUAUUUAAGUGAAUACUAAUUAAUUUAUUUAUUUUUCAUUUCGAUAAACAAACAAAUCGUGGACCAUAGAAUUUAAUCUCUCUUCACAAAAUCAGACAUGGGUUCUUUCUUUGGACAAUGGUUACCCAAAAUAGAGAAAAAUUUUCACAUAAAUGUUCGAUAUGAUUAGUGCCCCCACUAAACAGCUCAUCAUCUCAUAUUUAUCUAAAAUUGUGGUAUAAAUGUUUAUAGGGGUUAUGGGACAUCUCAAAUGGAUUAACGCUUCUUUUGGAGAGGAGUUAUGACUUUGUAAUAAUCCAAACAGACAGUAUAGAGGCCGUUCAAGUUAUUAAAGACUAGGCUUGUAAGGACUUGGACUCAACUUUAAUAAGAAGAAAUCAUCAAAUUUUGUCUAGUAUUAGACAUUGGGACAUUUGUCACAUUCCGAAGUCGAUGAAAUUGCUAAACUAGUUCAAGAAAUGAGGGAAUGUCUUUCAAGUGUUUGAAGUGUCCCCAUUGGGAAGUUUUAUUUUAUCGUAAUUUUUUAGGUUUUGUAUUUUCACCAAAUUUUUUUUAAGAAAAUAGAAAAUAAUAAUAAUUUUUGAAAACUCAAAGUACAAUUAUAUUAAAUUUGUGAUUUCAUCCAUAAUGUUAUUCAUAUCUAUCUAAUUAUUUGUCCUAAUCAUCCGAAAUUUAGGCCUAGUUUGGAUUGGUGGUACGUUUAACUGUAGUUAGUGUAAACAUAACGGUGGCGAUGAUAUUAGAUACUGUAGCGUGAGACAAAAAAUAAAUUAAAAGCACCGCACCCAAUCACCCAUCUAAAUCCACCUUAGUUAGUUACAAUCUAAAAUGAAAUAUAUAUUAAUAUAAUAAUAUAUUAUAUUGGUGUUUUGUUCAGUUUUAUUAUGGUUUAAAUUCAAAUAUAUUUCAAAUUUCAAUCUAUUAUAUUUUAUAUUGAGUUAUUCUAAUUUUAAUUGAUCAAAUAUGUAUUAUUUGUAACUUAUACUAAGCUUCUUCUUUUUUAAGUAACUCAUACUAUAUUUGUAGUUAUAAAUUCUUUCAAAAAAAUAAAUUAGGAUUCAUUAUAACAACACAAGCCAUGUUUUAAUAGAGCGUAUUACGAACUCAAAUCCUUUGAAUUUUUUUGAAAAAGUUUACAACUAGAAUAUAGUAAAUCAAGUACAACACAAUUAUAAAGUUGAAUUGAAUCAAUAUAAAUUACAAACAGAUUAAGAACGGGAAUAAAUUAAAUUAAAAUUCACACGUGACAAUUGCGUAUGAUGAGACUCAAGUUUUGGUAUACAAGACUCAAAAUCUCGACUUUUACCAACAAUGCCAAAACUUAUUCGACAGACAAUUCAAACCUCUUAUCCGAUAUCAAAAUACCAGUUGUAUUUUAAUUAUUUUUCACAAUCAAUCUAAAACUAUUCCAGAGGUAGAAUUAAAAUUGGUAUCAGUUUUAAAUAAAACCGGAUUAAUUGAUAUAUUGAUUCCAACAGAAUGAUUUUAAAGAAAACCACUCAAAACCAAGAUUUAUUGUAGUAGUGGAUGAACAACUGUGAAGAGCCAUAGAAUUUUUUUUUUCUAAGGAUAAGCUUCGAUGACGGAUUGAACUGCACGUAUAGGUUUAACGUUGAAUCGUGUAAAACCAGAUUGUCGAAGAACAUAGCUCCAUUCCUUUAAGGUCCUCUCUUUCCCUUUAUUAGUAACACCCAUCAUCGUCAUGUCUAGCAUCAACCCUACGCCACCUAGCUCGUCGCCUUCUUUAUCUUCUUCAAGAACUGCUUCAACGAUUAUAACCUUCCCUUUAUCUUCUGGAAUGGCUUCUCGACAUUUUUU